GGAUCUUUAGCUCAAAUGGUAGAGCACUUGAGAAUAUGAGUAAUGGAGUAUACAUCUAUUACAUCUCAAGAGAUGGUGGUUCAAGUCCACCAAGAUCCU
Molecule: transfer RNA, 99 nt
Filed under: Thalictrum thalictroides
Lineage: Eukaryota; Viridiplantae; Streptophyta; Magnoliopsida; Ranunculales; Ranunculaceae
Rfam family: tRNA
About the family: Transfer RNA (tRNA) molecules are approximately 80 nucleotides in length. Their secondary structure includes four short double-helical elements and three loops (D, anti-codon, and T loops).
Source: Rfam by way of RNAcentral